AACAAAACAUUUUAUGACAAUGUGAACUCCAAUUUUUACCAGAUCUGUGCUCACUGUAAUCUCAUAGCCUUUCUAAAAAGGGAAAAAUUUGCUGUUUUUAAGAUAGUAGUUAACACAGAGAAGAGAAAUAUUUUAAGUGACAUUCAUAGUGGAAUACAGUCUAAAAUUAAAAAACAGAUCCAAAGAAAUCUUGAAUUUUAUUCAAUGGUUCCAUUUUAGUAGUACCAUUAUUUUGAAACUGUAGAUACUGCCAGAUAAAACUAAUAAUUUAUAUUAAUGUUGUUAGCUAUUAUGAUUUCAGCCCAAAAUCAAAUCAGAAAAUCCUUUAACAUUAAAUCUGAACUGAAAUUCAUGAUUAUUAUUCUUAUAUAUAUUUUUUAAAUAGUGUUUCUGCUCACUAAAAAUGCAUGACUUGACAACUGGGGAACAAUGAGAACUCCUAAUGCCUAGGUUGUAGUCUCUAAAGACCACUUUUCACUAAAAGGAAUCAGGGCUUUUCCACUAGAAGCUUUCAGGGCUCUAUGAAGAAUGGAUGAUUUCAUAUAUAAAACCAGAAAUGAUCAAGAUGUGCAUAGGUCAUCUUGUGUCCCAGUAAGCAAGGAAGACAGCAAAGACUAAGGAAGUCUUGUUCAAUGCGCACAGAACCAGUGGGAAGGGACAGAGCUAAAGAUACAACAGUUAGACUAUCAACAAUAACUAGGACUGUUUGAACACACUGCAUACAUAAAAAUCCAUAUGUUCAAAACUAAAC
RNAcentral lists this long non-coding RNA (751 nucleotides) under Marmota monax (woodchuck). The record is from RNAcentral. Lineage: Eukaryota; Metazoa; Chordata; Mammalia; Rodentia; Sciuridae.